RNAcentral lists this ribosomal RNA (400 nucleotides) under uncultured bacterium. Its description in RNAcentral is "bacterial SSU rRNA". It matches the Rfam family "Bacterial small subunit ribosomal RNA", at positions 356 to 773 of the family's 1533-position model. The record is from RNAcentral.
GGGGGAUAUUGCACAAUGGGCGAAAGCCUGAUGCAGCGACGCCGCGUGGAGGAUGAAGGCCUUCGGGUCGUAAACUCCUGUCUAGGGGGAUGAACACUGACAGUACCCCCGGAGGAAGCCCCGGCUAACUACGUGCCAGCAGCCGCGGUAAUACGUAGGGGGCGAGCGUUGUCCGGAAUUACUGGGCGUAAAGCGCGCGCAGGCGGCUUGUUAAGUCAGGUGUCAAAAUGCGGGGCUCAACCCCGUAUCGCACUUGAAACUGGCAGGCUUGAGUGCAGGAGAGGGAAGUGGAAUUCCUAGUGUAGCGGUGAAAUGCGUAGAUAUUAGGAGGAACACCAGUGGCGAAGGCGACUUCCUGGACUGUAACUGACGCUCAGGCGCGAAAGCUAGGGGAGCAAAC